This 468-nucleotide ribosomal RNA is filed under the name uncultured bacterium. Its description in RNAcentral is "partial 16S ribosomal RNA". It matches the Rfam family "Bacterial small subunit ribosomal RNA", at positions 28 to 507 of the family's 1533-position model. The record is from RNAcentral.
GACGAACGCUGGCGGCGUGCUUAACAUAUGCAAGUCGAACGGAAAGGCCCUGCUUUUGUGGGGUGCUCGAGUGGCGAACGGGUGAGUAACACGUGAGUAACCUGCCCUUGACUUUGGGAUAACUUCAGGAAACUGGGGCUAAUACCGGAUAGGAGCUCCUGCUGCAUGGUGGGGGUUGGAAAGUUUCGGCGGUUGGGGAUGGACUCGCGGCUUAUCAGCUUGUUGGUGAGGUAGUGGCUUACCAAGGCUUUGACGGGUAGCCGGCCUGAGAGGGUGAACGGCCACAUUGGGACUGAGAUACGGCCCAGACUCCUACGGGAGGCAGCAGUGGGGAAUAUUGCACAAUGGGCGGAAGCCUGAUGCAGCAACGCCGCGUGCGGGAUGACGGCCUUCGGGUUGUAAACCGCUUUCGCCUGUGACGAAGCGUGAGUGACGGUAAUGGGUAAAGAAGCACCGGCUAACUACGUG